AUAGGUGGUUUAAGCGUGUAGUCGUGCCGCGUAGGCAAAUCCGCGUGGCUAAGAUGAGGCGUGAUGACGAGGAUCCUCGGAUCCGAAGCGAGUGAUACCCCAGCUUCCAGGAAAAGCCUCUAAGCUUCAGUCUAAGAGUGACCGUACCGCAAACCGACACAGGUGGGCUGGUAGAGAAUACCAAGGCGCUUGAGAGAACUCAGGAGAAGGAACUCGGCAAAUUGAUACCGUAACUUCGGGAGAAGGUAUGCCCCUGGUACGUGAAGGCCCUCGCGGCCGGAGCGGAACGGGGUCGCAGAGAAUCGGUGGCUGCGACUGUUUAUUAAAAACACAGCACUCUGCAAACACGAAAGUGGACGUAUAGGGUGUGACGCCUGCCCGGUGCCGGAAGGUUAAGUGAUGGGGUGCAAGCUCUUGAUCGAAGCCCCGGUAAACGGCGGCCGU
Molecule: ribosomal RNA, 444 nt
Filed under: uncultured bacterium
Lineage: Bacteria
Description: bacterial LSU rRNA
Rfam family: Bacterial large subunit ribosomal RNA
Source: RNAcentral